RNAcentral lists this non-coding RNA (133 nucleotides) under Streptomyces sp. Lineage: Bacteria; Bacillati; Actinomycetota; Actinomycetes; Kitasatosporales; Streptomycetaceae. The record is from RNAcentral.
AGAGGAAGCCGGUGCGAAUCCGGCGCGGUCCCGCCACUGUCACCGGGGAGCGGUCCCCCACACCGGGAAGUCACGGCACGCGCGAGCGGGCUGGAAGGCCGGGGGAAUCGCGGAUCCGGGAGCCAGGAGACUC